CCGCUGGGCGCCUGAGGCCCCUGAGAUUCCGAAAUUUUUAACCUCUGAAGCUGUGCCUUCACAUGAUCUAGGACAGCGUUCAGAAGAUGGCUACAGUCUGUUGGUUUGUAUUCUGUGAAAAUAGAAAAAAAAAUCCGGUUAGAGGAUGCAUUGGGCUCAGUGAAAAUUCAUGAAACUAAGUCACCAGCCUUCAGCAAUCUGAGCAAAGAUAAACUGCCUCAGGAACAGUAUUGAUGGCUUGCAGAGGACUGGCUUAUGACUUCAGGCGGCAUAAACAACAAGCACAAAUGGAUGCGUUUUCCGGUGUCCACCCAUCUGGCCGUUGGCGCAGGGAAUCAGAGCAUCUUGUCUGCAGCAUUAAGGCAACUACGAAAAUGCGUCAGAGGAGAAGCACCCCCAGUCCAGACUCCUUUGUCAGUGAGGUGUCAUGU
Molecule: long non-coding RNA, 431 nt
Filed under: Homo sapiens (human)
Lineage: Eukaryota; Metazoa; Chordata; Mammalia; Primates; Hominidae
Description: non-protein coding lnc-FBXO31-1:3
Source: RNAcentral